GCGCUACAAGGUCAUCGGGAA
Molecule: small nuclear RNA, 21 nt
Filed under: Arabidopsis thaliana (thale cress)
Lineage: Eukaryota; Viridiplantae; Streptophyta; Magnoliopsida; Brassicales; Brassicaceae
Description: snRNA_08976
Source: RNAcentral